GCUGUUUUCAGGUGGAUGACUUCACAAUUUCAGUACUUGACAAAAUGAAAAAGAAAUUGCACAGUAUCCAUCUGCAAUCCGCC
RNAcentral lists this microRNA precursor (83 nucleotides) under Larimichthys crocea (large yellow croaker). Its description in RNAcentral is "mir-363 microRNA precursor family". It matches the Rfam family "mir-363 microRNA precursor family". Lineage: Eukaryota; Metazoa; Chordata; Actinopteri; Sciaenidae. The record is from Rfam by way of RNAcentral.